Molecule: long non-coding RNA, 952 nt
Organism: Dermacentor andersoni
Lineage: Eukaryota; Metazoa; Arthropoda; Arachnida; Ixodida; Ixodidae
Source: RefSeq, a predicted model, not a curated record
UCAUGUAUUCAACUGCUGUCCACAAGCGGGCCCAGCGUGCUCUUGCACGACUCUACGGCCUGCGCUGCAAAGGAUUACUUCGGCCACGAGCAUCACCUGUUCCAGGAGUGACUACUAAGGCUUCUACAUUUUCGCCAAUGGCGUCCUGCUGGCAGACUGGACUUCUCAUCGCCCUGCACUACUACUGGUUCUGCACUCCUGUUUUCGACUCCGGUGGGUGCCUAGCACGCUCCUGCACAUCGACUCUCCGUUCUGCACUCAGAAAGAGAUUACUUCGGGCACCAGCAUCACCCGUUCCAUGAGCGACUGCUAUUGCUUCUACGUUCUCUCGCCGACGGCCUCCUGCUGGCAGACUGGACUUAGCCUGGCGCCCUUGCACCUAAUUGUGGUUCCCAGUUUCUGCUGUCGCUUGUGGCGCAAGAGAAAUAUUCCAGCACGCUCAUUUACAAGAAUAUUCCUGGCUUUGCCUCACGAGCAACCAUCUUCAGCCCGAUCGUCCUACCGCGUGCUCUAUACAACAAGCUUCCUAAUGAACUCGUGAACGCGUCGCACGCCUCUGUCUUGGCGGUGUCCUGCACUGUGUUGACGGCGUGUUCAUUCUCUGAAGGACUUCGUGUCGUCACCAUCCCGCGACCGUCCAUCGGAUGUGCUCCUACAGUUCGCUGUUGCCUUUUUCCGCAAGCAUAUUUAAUAAGGUCAUUGUAGCAAGCGUUUAUGCUUUGGAAGAGUGGUACGUUGCUCGACGAAUGGAUGCCGAUUCUAGGAAUCUGUUUAAUACGAAGCAGAACAUAAAGGUCUGGGUACGUGGACACCACUCGGUCCUUAAUAAGGACUCAAUGUUUUCAUGAGCCGAUCUGUAAAUUUUUGGUGGCGAGAGUAAUGGACAUUCAUUGACAUUGUGCACUAUUGUAGUAGCACGUUGGUGUGUGUGUGUGUGUGUGUGUGUGUGUGU